Molecule: ribosomal RNA, 540 nt
Filed under: Triticum aestivum (bread wheat)
Lineage: Eukaryota; Viridiplantae; Streptophyta; Magnoliopsida; Poales; Poaceae
Description: partial small subunit ribosomal RNA
Source: RNAcentral
AUGCCAGGUCCUCCUCAGCCGGAUCCAUCGCGCGCUGGCUCGCGAGCGGAACGCGUCCAAAACGUCGAGGUGGCCAUCCCCGCGCCUGUCAACACGGCCUACUGGGAGCACUAUCAGCCCGACCUCCUCGGGCACAACGACAACUCCGAUUACAUCUCGUCGGAGUCGGAGUACGACUCUGGCUCCGACGAAGACUCUAGCUACGCCGCCGACUCGUCUUGGUCGACUGGCUGGGAGGAGCCAGAGGUGAUCGUCCUCUUUGACGACGAGCCGGAGGUGCAGAUGGCGACGCCCGUCGUCCCUGAGCCGGAGGUCCAGAUGGUGGCGCCUGUCUCCAGGGAGGGUGACAAGCACCGCCCAAUUGACGUCGACGCGCUUCCAGAUGUUCCUGACAUCGUCAAGAAGGAGGUGGAGGUGGUCUUGGCACUUGAAGCACAUGCAGAGGUGGCUGACAGGAAGACGAACAAGAAUAAGAGGAAGAUGCCUAAAGAAGAUGCAGCUGAUGUUCGCAGGUCAGAGCGCCUGAAGAAGAUGGCCUAA